This 266-nucleotide ribosomal RNA is filed under the name Mantidactylus catalai. Its description in RNAcentral is "partial 16S ribosomal RNA". Lineage: Eukaryota; Metazoa; Chordata; Amphibia; Anura; Mantellidae. The record is from RNAcentral.
ACGAGAAGACCCCAUGGAGCUUUAAACCCAAUUAUAUCUCUAACCACUAUAACCAUUUAACCACUUAGAACUUAUAUACUUGGUUUUAGGUUGGGGCGACCACGGAGCACAACCAAACCUCCACGAUGAACGGAACAACCCCCUUAUCUGAGAAUUACACUUCUAAGAAUUAGCACACUAACAUAAAAUGACCCAUUAUUGAUCAACGAACCAAGUUACCCUGGGGAUAACAGCGCAAUCCAUUUUAAGAGCCCCUAUCGACAAAU